This 1450-nucleotide ribosomal RNA is filed under the name Salmonella enterica subsp. enterica serovar Heidelberg. Its description in RNAcentral is "partial 23S ribosomal RNA". It matches the Rfam family "Bacterial large subunit ribosomal RNA", at positions 711 to 2141 of the family's 2925-position model. Lineage: Bacteria; Pseudomonadati; Pseudomonadota; Gammaproteobacteria; Enterobacterales; Enterobacteriaceae. The record is from RNAcentral.
AGACCCGAAACCCGGUGAUCUAGCCAUGGGCAGGUUGAAGGUUGGGUAACACUAACUGGAGGACCGAACCGACUAAUGUUGAAAAAUUAGCGGAUGACCUGUGGCUGGGGGUGAAAGGCCAAUCAAACCGGGAGAUAGCUGGUUCUCCCCGAAAGCUAUUUAGGUAGCGCCUCGUGAAUUCAUCUCCGGGGGUAGAGCACUGUUUCGGCUAGGGGGCCAUCCCGGCUUACCAACCCGAUGCAAACUGCGAAUACCGGAGAAUGUUAUCACGGGAGACACACGGCGGGUGCUAACGUCCGUCGUGAAGAGGGAAACAACCCAGACCGCCAGCUAAGGUCCCAAAGUCAUGGUUAAGUGGGAAACGAUGUGGGAAGGCCCAGACAGCCAGGAUGUUGGCUUAGAAGCAGCCAUCAUUUAAAGAAAGCGUAAUAGCUCACUGGUCGAGUCGGCCUGCGCGGAAGAUGUAACGGGGCUAAACCAUGCACCGAAGCUGCGGCAGCGACGCUGAUGCGUUGUUGGGUAGGGGAGCGUUCUGUAAGCCUGCGAAGGUGACCUGUGAGGGUUGCUGGAGGUAUCAGAAGUGCGAAUGCUGACAUAAGUAACGAUAAAGCGGGUGAAAAGCCCGCUCGCCGGAAGACCAAGGGUUCCUGUCCAACGUUAAUCGGGGCAGGGUGAGUCGACCCCUAAGGCGAGGCCGAAAGGCGUAGUCGAUGGGAAACGGGUUAAUAUUCCCGUACUUGGUGUUACUGCGAAGGGGGGACGGAGAAGGCUAUGUUGGCCGGGCGACGGUUGUCCCGGUUUAAGCGUGUAGGUGUGUGUUCCAGGUAAAUCCGGUUCACUUUAACACUGAGGCGUGAUGACGAGGCACUACGGUGCUGAAGCAACAAAUGCCCUGCUUCCAGGAAAAGCCUCUAAGCAUCAGGUAACAUCAAAUCGUACCCCAAACCGACACAGGUGGUCAGGUAGAGAAUACCAAGGCGCUUGAGAGAACUCGGGUGAAGGAACUAGGCAAAAUGGUGCCGUAACUUCGGGAGAAGGCACGCUGACACGUAGGUGAAGUGAUUUACUCAUGGAGCUGAAGUCAGUCGAAGAUACCAGCUGGCUGCAACUGUUUAUUAAAAACACAGCACUGUGCAAACACGAAAGUGGACGUAUACGGUGUGACGCCUGCCCGGUGCCGGAAGGUUAAUUGAUGGGGUCAGCGCAAGCGAAGCUCCUGAUCGAAGCCCCGGUAAACGGCGGCCGUAACUAUAACGGUCCUAAGGUAGCGAAAUUCCUUGUCGGGUAAGUUCCGACCUGCACGAAUGGCGUAAUGAUGGCCAGGCUGUCUCCACCCGAGACUCAGUGAAAUUGAACUCGCUGUGAAGAUGCAGUGUACCCGCGGCAAGACGGAAAGACCCCGUGAACCUUUACUAUAGCUUGACACUGAACAUUGAGCCUUGAUGUGUAG